RNAcentral lists this ribosomal RNA (585 nucleotides) under Fusarium sp. P48E1. RNAcentral's name for it is "eukaryotic LSU rRNA". The stretch from base 218 to 371 matches the Rfam family "5.8S ribosomal RNA". The record is from RNAcentral. Lineage: Eukaryota; Fungi; Ascomycota; Sordariomycetes; Hypocreales; Nectriaceae.
UUUGGUCAUUUAGAGGAAGUAAAAGUCGUAACAAGGUCUCCGUUGGUGAACCAGCGGAGGGAUCAUUACCGAGUUUACAACUCCCAAACCCCUGUGAACAUACCUAUACGUUGCCUCGGCGGAUCAGCCCGCGCCCCGUAAAAAGGGACGGCCCGCCCGAGGACCCCUAAACUCUGUUUUUAGUGGAACUUCUGAGUAAAACAAACAAAUAAAUCAAAACUUUCAACAACGGAUCUCUUGGUUCUGGCAUCGAUGAAGAACGCAGCAAAAUGCGAUAAGUAAUGUGAAUUGCAGAAUUCAGUGAAUCAUCGAAUCUUUGAACGCACAUUGCGCCCGCCAGUAUUCUGGCGGGCAUGCCUGUUCGAGCGUCAUUUCAACCCUCAAGCUCAGCUUGGUGUUGGGACUCGCGGUAACCCGCGUUCCCCAAAUCGAUUGGCGGUCACGUCGAGCUUCCAUAGCGUAGUAAUCAUACACCUCGUUACUGGUAAUCGUCGCGGCCACGCCGUAAAACCCCAACUUCUGAAUGUUGACCUCGGAUCAGGUAGGAAUACCCGCUGAACUUAAGCAUAUCAAUAAGCGGAGGAA